UCAACAUGAGAUUUGGAGGGGACAAACAUCCAAACCAUAUCCGAUGGCGACAAAAGAUGUACAGAGAGCAGAUGAACCUCACCUCCCUGGAACCCCCACUGCAGCUCCGACUCGAGGCCAGCUGGGUCCAGUUCCACCUGGGUAUUAACCGCCGUGGGCUCUACUCCCGGUCCAGUCCUGUUGUCAGCAAACUUCUGCAAGAUAUGAGGCACUUUCCCACCAUCAGUGCUGAUUACAGUCAAGAUGAGAAAGCCUUGCUGGGGGCGUGUGACUGCACCCAGAUUGUGAAACCCAGUGGGGUCCACCUCAAGCUGGUGCUGAGGUUCUCGGAUUUCGGGAAGGCCAUGUUCAAACCCAUGAGACAGCAGCGAGAUGAGGAGACGCCCGUGGACUUCUUCUACUUCAUUGACUUUCAGAGACACAAUGCUGAGAUCGCAGCUUUCCAUCUGGACAGGAUUCUGGACUUCCGACGGGUGCCGCCAACAGCGGGGAGGAUAGUGAAUGUCACCAAGGAAAUCCUAGAGGUCACCAAGAAUGAAAUCCUGCAGAGUGUUUUCUUUGUCUCUCCAGCGAGCAACGUGUGCUUCUUCGCCAAGUGUCCAUACAUGUGCAAGACGGAGUAUGCUGUCUGUGGCAACCCACACCUGCUGGAGGGUUCCCUCUCUGCCUUCCUGCCAUCCCUUAACCUGGCCCCCAGGCUGUCUGUGCCCAACCCCUGGAUCCGCUCCUACACACUGGCAGGAAAAGAGGACCCCAGGACUUCUUCUCCCCCUCAGGUGGGAGGUCAAUCCCCUUUACUGUGACACAGUGAAACAGAUCUACCC
RNAcentral lists this small RNA (824 nucleotides) under Pongo abelii (Sumatran orangutan). RNAcentral's name for it is "processed transcript". The record is from RNAcentral. Lineage: Eukaryota; Metazoa; Chordata; Mammalia; Primates; Hominidae.